Long non-coding RNA from Zophobas morio, 2236 nucleotides. RefSeq lists it as uncharacterized. Lineage: Eukaryota; Metazoa; Arthropoda; Insecta; Coleoptera; Tenebrionidae. The transcript has 12 exons. The record is from RefSeq and is a predicted model, not a curated record.
GGUUUUGAUUUUGUUUCAAACGGUAGUUAGUACAUAUCGGUCCCUGUGCAGAUAUAAGCUGUUAAACUGUUAAUUUGUAAGCAUAGACAACUCAGCUUUAAAAUUUUUAUAGUUAAUAGAUCACUUAUCCUCCUCGACCUAUUCUGCUAACAAGCGCUACAGUUUAGUCCUAGUUAACUACGCGAAGGAGAUUCGCUUUUAACUUAAUACUAUAUAUGAAUAAGUGUUAAAAUAAAUGAAUUUUGAAGGAAUCUAAUGAGUUCAGUUAUUUAAGAAAGUAAGCAUCCAACCUUCACCUAAGAGUGCGUCACGCGUAACGGAUUGUAUUGUCUCGCAGUUAAAUGAUUCCUAAGUGGGUUAUUACUCUUAAGACGGUUAAGGUCUCCAGCUAUCCAUUUGUAAAAGGCGACGGCAUUGCUUUUGAAGACUGUGGUCAGCGGUUACGCAGGUCGCGUUGUACUAUUUCAUUGAGCACAAUCCUAAGCGCGUUUGUUAAAAGCCGAUCUCAACGCAAAAAAGUGGACGUCUAGCUUCAAGGAGAAGGAAAUCAGUUAUAGUAUUAAGUCUAACACAUUAAUAACUUACGUUCAAGGAACUGACUCGAAGCAAAGCAAUUAAAACUCCUGUUAUAUUUCCCAACCCACCACAAGGUGAGGCCCAUAUUUAGAGGAAAGGAAAUCAUUUGUUUAGGUUAUUGAGAGAAUAUAUCACUAGAAAAUAAAAGGGAAAAUUCCACUUUUUUUAGGUAAGACUUUUCAAGCAUAUAUCUUGUUUUUAGGUAUAUGAAGGAACCACACCUGUGUGACUAGUAAGUUUUCCUCAAAGCCCGAUGCCGAGUUUUCUAGUUUUUCUCUUGCUUAACGUUUUUGUUAAAGGGUCUCGUUGUCUCCGUGCGAUCCUGAGGGGAGCCGGGAUGGUGUCUUCUUACCGAAUCGAAACCUCAAAAAAUUUUCCGAAUAAUAUAUCCUGUAACACAAACAAAUUUUAAGCUUUAAAAAGGUCUGGUCUUAGUUCAAAUAACAUUAGGAUAAUUGAAGACGGCCUUUUAUCUAAUUUCGUUGCUUUACAACAUUUGUAUCUAGGUAAGAAUCAACUUUCCUUAAUAAGUCGCGGAACAUUUAAAGGUCUUAAGAACUUGCAAAUAUUAAGACUUAUUGAAAACAGCAUUACUUCAAUCGAGCAUGAUUCCUUUUCUGAGUUAAAAGCUUUAGUCAGCUUAGAAGUGGAUGCUAAUUUAAAGAUUUAGAAGGAAAGAGACUCACUUCAAUUAGCCUAGGAGUAUUCAACGGUUUACUAAAGCUAAGUUCUUUGUAGUUGAAGACGUUGCAGAGUUAUUGUUAUUCUUAAAAAUUCUAUACGCUAAUUUUAUUUUUUUAUUGCAUUGCAAAUUAUUACAACCUUAUUAAUCUACAUAGAAACGCAUUGAAAUAAUUAAUGAUUUUUGCUAAAUAUAUGUUAAUAUAUUUAAUAUUAAUGUUGCAACUGUUUGUUUAAUGUCACAAUUUUUUUAAUUCGAUAUUGUUUGCAGGGAGCUAACUUGCUAAGAUACCUUGCCAAAAACUCAAUAAUUGCUUUGCAGAACUUGACAACUUAAAAGCCUUAGAUUUCAGGGGGAAUCCUCUGACAUACAUCGGAAUUUUCGCUUUUGGUAAAUCCUAUGAUUCGGAAAAAAACUUAAUUUUUGAAUUUAAUGAAAAAUUCCUUUGUUGCUCCCGGGUUCUUCACAAUUAUCUUAUAAAUUCAAAUCCAAACUGCACGCAUGAUGGAAUUAGUGAAAUUUUUAUUUCUUUUGAUGAAAAAAAGUGCAACCCACACGCAAUUACGCUAGAAUCGCCAGAUUUUUCUCCCGGCCCUGAAAUUCAGAUUGAAAAAAAAGAUCGUCCAUCCCCGCAGUUAAUUGGUAAUCAGCUUACUAAAGAGAUUUCUAUCUCUCAUCCCUCUGAUACGAAUUCUUUUAAAAUUUUGAUUGAAAUCUCGAGAAAAAGAUUUAGAAAAGCCGUUCCCUCCAAGUUUUACUAAAAAUCAAUCUACAAGACCUUUUAAUACGAGAACCCUCAAAGUUUCAACCAGUUCCCAGUCAAAAGUGGAUUUCGAUAAGUUGAGUACAUCUAAUUCCGCUGGAAGUUACAAAUCUAUUGGAUUCUCUCAAGUGUUAAAACGUUUCAGUCUUGUAAUUUCUUUUUCUUUGCAGGCAUUCGAGCGUUGAAUCUAAAAAUAAAAAAUACUUAUUUUUUUA